GAAGAGGGAGAGGGGGCAGCAUUGAGCUCUUCAGAAGAUAUAUCUUUACAAGGCAGGCUUGCAAUGGCUGCCUGCAGAGUCAAGGGUAGAAGAACGGGCCAUCUGCAGGCUGCAGAGUUGAAGGAGGCAGUUGAAAGUGGAAGCUCUGGAGCUCACUGCAGAGUUUUGUGGUCUACACCAGGAAGCUGGACAGUCUGUACUGGAAGCCUGCAGAUGUAUGUUCAAAUGCAAUGGUGAAGGCUGGAGCUCUUCCCAAGAAACAGAGGCAAGACUUCCUUCUUUUUUCCCUUUUUAUUGCAUCUGGGCUGCAAGCCUGUUGGCUGGUGCCACCCACACCUAGGAAAGGGGAAAAUAUCACUGUGAUGGUUCAACUUCAUUGAGAACUUGAUUGGUGUGAUGGAUUGACAACUGGUG
Chinchilla lanigera (long-tailed chinchilla) is the source of this 414-nucleotide long non-coding RNA. RefSeq lists it as uncharacterized. The record is from RefSeq and is a predicted model, not a curated record. Lineage: Eukaryota; Metazoa; Chordata; Mammalia; Rodentia; Chinchillidae. The transcript has 3 exons.